AAAAAGGGCAGGCCUUGCCUAAGGCACAGUAUGGGGCGGCUCCGGCCGUCCUUGUGGUGAAUCGCGAUCAGGAGAUUUGCCCUGCAUAAUUUCUGAGCAGCCGCGCUGGAAUGGACCUCACGGGCUAAUUCCACCGG
Molecule: small nuclear RNA, 137 nt
Organism: Phytophthora ramorum (sudden oak death agent)
Lineage: Eukaryota; Oomycota; Peronosporomycetes; Peronosporales; Peronosporaceae
Rfam family: U11 spliceosomal RNA
Source: Rfam